RNAcentral lists this long non-coding RNA (7748 nucleotides) under Gossypium raimondii (Peruvian cotton). Its description in RNAcentral is "long non-coding RNA (GRAI_LNC000220)". Lineage: Eukaryota; Viridiplantae; Streptophyta; Magnoliopsida; Malvales; Malvaceae. The record is from RNAcentral.
UCGGAGUCGGAGUCUGGGUAUUGCUGUUGCGACUCAGUAAGUUGUUGUGCUUGUUCUUCUUCUUCAUCAUCCUCUUCUGGGUCUUGUGACUCAGUGAGUUGUUGUUCCUCUUCGUUCGACAUUGCUUUGCAGUAGAAAGAAGGGAGAGGUUGAAGAAGAUAAGGUAGAGAAUGUUAAGAAGAAAAGGAUCGUUAGGAUUGAAGACAGCGGUUUAUCAUUUCAAAAGGGUUUUGGGCGUUUUGGCAUUUUCCAUGUCUUUUAAGUGAUUUUUGUGGUGUACCUACCUUUGCUUUCUAUUUUCAUUUUGGUAAGUAUAGACAAAUGAUGUUAUCUUUUUUCAUGUGAAUUUGGUAGAUAAUAAUAUUUUACACAUUUUAUUAAUUUGGUUCUAUUUUUAGAAAAUUUAAUUUUAAAUUUUAUACAUUCUCUUAAUUUUAUCUUAAUUUUAAAUUUUUAAAAAUUCAAAAAAUUAAAAAUUAUUAAAUGUCUGAAAAAAAUACAUAGAAAUUAAAAUUUAGCGGGUGAAACAAAAACAUGAAAUGGAUCGAAACAAGGGUACUAUUUCAAGGAAUGAGGCACAAACAAUUUCAUGGUUCUAGACAAGAUUCUCCACAUCUUUUUCUUAGGUUAUUAAAUGUUAAGUUUUUGGGUUGAACUUAAACAGUUAAACUUUCAUAACGCAUCAUUCAUUGCUUGUGGGCUCAUUUGCUAAACUUUUAGACUAGAAUUAUUGAAGAAUCAUAUUUGACACUCUUUUGAUGAACAUACAUUUAUUUAUAUAUAUUUAUAUGUUUAAUUAUUGGAUUUAAAUUGUUAGACUAUCCAAUAGGAACCUCCAUUAUUGGAUUUAAAUUGCUAGCUGGGUAUAUUUAUGUUGACUGCACUGACAGUAGAAAGCAAAUUUCUAUCUCCAUAUCAACUAUAAAGACUAAGCAUAUCUUUGCUUGAAGUUAUUGUACACUUCUCUAGAGGUCACUAUGGUGUUAAAAAAAGUGUUGCUAAACAUUUCAAAGAAUAAUAUAUUGUACCUACGCACAUGAUUAUGAGCCUCCAAGUGUUAGAUGUCAUGUUGAUUCUUCAAAAGUGCAGAAAUGAUUUAAUCAUUAGUAUUCGUUAUAUUUAGACCGCAAUAUCUGGUGAGGAGUCUUUGUACCUAAGAACAUGAUUAUGAACGUCCAGAUGCCAUGUCGGUUCUUCAAGAUUGGAGAAGUGAUGGAGUUUUAUGGUGGUUUAAACAAAUAUUCUUGACUUGAAAUGCAAGGGAAUUUUACCUUUAAACAUCAAUCUUGGGAUUGCUCCAUUUACCAUGUUUACUUGAUAAAAAAAUAAAACCAGUUCUCAUGAUUCAUAUUCGAUUGUUAAUGUUCAAAUUUUGAUACUAAUCAAAUUCAAGCUCAAAUAUUAAAGCUCGUGAUAGCUCAACUUGCUGUAAAUCACAAAGUAGAAUUCAAAUUUGAUUUCCAAUAUUCAAAAAAUUUUCAAGCAAAACCCAAAUAUCUUCCAAGAGUAUAAAAUUUUCCCAUUUACACUCCUAGUCACAGCACUCCCAAUGUGAAAUUUUAAAUGAAAAUAAAACCAAUAGGACCAAAAGUAUUGAAGUUGAUCAUUCACCCCAAAUCCCAAUUGCCUGAAUGAAACUUUCGUUGAUCCUUCAACUUUCAUAUAAGAAUCAAAGCAUCCAAGAAACAUUCCAGAUGAGAUUUUGCUCAUCGUCUAAGCUUUUUCUUUGUAUAGGAAAAAAUGUGCCAAAGCUCAAAAUGAUUUUUCAAUGUCUAACUUUGACGUUAUUUUUCUCUGUUUUUAAAAAAUAAAAGCUAAGUGUAUACUUCAAAUUAAGAUUGGCCAAAAAACCAAUCAAAUGCAACCUCAACAAAGACUGACCCUCGUAAGUGCAAUCACUCAAGUUCCUACAAUGAGGCUCCAUGCCUUUUAGUAUCUGGGUAUGAUUCCAAAUAACAAACCGGAAUAUGCAAAGAUAAGAUGUCUGAAUAUUUCUUCGGUGCAACAUGCAGCUCAGAACGGUUAAGGUUUCCAGGUCGUCUUACAUGGCUUCUGGUAGUAGUUGAAGGGCAUGAUAAGAUCUUGCAUAAGGAGUGUAACUGAGACUUCUUUCCUCUAGAUUGGUUUUGUGGUUGAAACUUCUGAUGGUCUUGCUUGAAUGCCCUCAACCUUCCUUUGUGGCCUAGCACCAAAGGGAAACUGACCGAAUCAAUUAUUUUCAAUGGAUCGCUGGCGCUUUCCACACUUGACGGAGGAUGGGAUUUUAGUGGUAAUCUACGUUGUUUCAGUGCUAAAAUUGAUUCUCGCAAUGUAGAUGGAACCUGUAAAGCAAAAGAUAGUAACCAUUGAAAUCUGAAAUAUAAAAGCAAUGCAACUUUCAAAUGACCACCCAUUCAAUUAGCAUAAAGAAUUGUGAAACUAAACAGAAUAGACAUAAAUGGUCAUUUCGGUUACAAUCUGAUAUCGGAAUAAAGGCUUUUCAGACAAAUUCCCCAUUAGUCAAAGAGCAAAGGCUUCACCUUCAUAGACCAUUUUUUCCUCCACAUGCAAAUCACAGAAUUAGAACAGAAAUGAGAACAAAACAUGGAAAUAAAAUUGAAUUGUAUAAGAAUUUACCACUGAAACAAGGCUGCAAGAAGCAAACAACAAUGAAGAUGAAGAGAAUGGAGGCUCCCUAGGCUUCUUUUCCUUCUGAUUGCCAGCAACAGAUCCAAAACUGGAAGGUGUAACAUCAUCAUCAUCAUCCUCUUCCUCUUCCUCUUCCUCUCCGUCUUCCUCUUCAUCCACAACUUUGUCAAAAUCAUCUUUGGGAAUGGCUUUGUCCUCUAGGUUAGCCACCACAGAAGUAUCUUCAUCCUCCAGCAAUCCCAUUUCCAUCUUCUUCUCCUCCUCUUUUUCUUUCUUCUUUAGUUCUUCAUCCAUGUCCUCAAUGGCCUCUUCUAAACACAGUUCAGCCUCUAUAAGAUCAAGUUCCUUUUCAAUAAGCUUCAUCUUCAACUCACCAGCCUUCUUCUUCUCUUCAGUCCACUUUUCUAGUUUAUCAAAUCCUGGCUUCAACGCAUUUUCUAUUGUCGUUAUUAGACGCUUCCAUAUAUUAUCCCUUUUUUGAAUCACUUCCCGUCCAUAGAACUCAUCAAAUCCAAGGGGCAGGAACUUAGCCUUCUUUGGAUCAAUCUCUUCACCUUCUUUCACAGGUGGCUGCCAAAAUAAUCGGACACCAUGUUCCUCAUCCUCAAUGUAAUUGAUCAAUUGUCCAGUUGGGGUAUGCAAAAUGAGCGGGUCUUCAGUAUAUAUUAGCUUUGACGGAUCUUCAGGAUCAGGCUCCGGUUCUUUGUUGAUAAGUACAAAUUCAGGAGUUUCAUCUGAUCAAUAAAAUGUAACCAUCCAUUUAAAAAAACCAAAAAGGAAAAGGAUUCUUCAUAUCACUUUUGGAGACUAAGAAAUAAUAACAGAAGCGAAUAAAGAAAUACCUUUCGACCACCAAUAUUCAAGCUCUGCAGGCAUAGGUAACCUCAGGGGAGCUUUAUAAAAUGAGUUCAGCCACAUUUCUCUUUCCUGAUCAACUUCAUGCACAUAUGACUUCCAAUAAUCAGGAACCUGCCAACAAACAUACUUAUUUCUUCUCCCUUUUCAUAAUUGUGGAAAGAAUCCACCACGCGAAAGAAAAGCUUUUACUUACUUCGUAGAACUGAUUGAUAAAGCCUGGUGCCAUCCACACAUCUUCCUCCUCAUAGAAAUAGGGGUGUUGAGGAUCACCAUAAGGGCCCCUCUCUUCCCUAACCACUAUACAUGCAAACCAAGAUAAAAAGUCAAGAUUAUAUAAGGUUAAUGUUUAAAAUUGUCAGUGAUUAAAUGUAAAAAGGCAUAGGGGUUCCAAAGUAUCAUGUAGAGGGUAAAUCCAAAGAAAGUCAUGCGUUCAAAUUUCAGAGUAUAGUCAAGUCAGGCCUUCCGCAAUGAGGAACAUCCAACAUGACAAACUGCACUUGAACUUCAAAUCAUAUUCUAGAGGACCCAGAAAACAAAUUAUGCAAAACAGUCAACAAGAGGCUCCUUGAAUCUCCAAAGAACUUCCUUUUGCACCCAAUAAAUAGAUAAGCAGAAGACUGUGAGGGAGGCUUUUAGCAACGAUAACACUUAUAAGUUAUAACCCAUAUUCAUCUCUAAAUAUGAGUACGUACAACUUCAAAAUAUUCAGCUUCAUCACAAACCAAAAAGUUGACCUAUUCAGUUACCGCAAGGUACAAAGUUCAGCCACUUCUAUUUUCCUUUUUGUUUUCUUCCCUUUCUGUUUUUUACUCUAGCAUAGCUCUACAGCCAUGAUCUAAUUAGCACAUGCUUGAAACAUUGGCAUGAUUGACACUAGGGGACACAACUCUCAUGUCAACCAUAACAGAAACUUGUAGGAACAAUUAUAAGAGAAAAUUAUAUGUCAAAUAUACCUGAACAAGUCGAAUUUUAAAGAUGGUAUGCAUUUUUUGUUGAAGAAACUUGCACAGAGAUCUAUCUUGUUUCCAUAUAUAAAAUUUUAGAAGUUACCAAACAAGAUUUUGUGCUUAUGCAAAUCUAAUAGUUAAUAAAGCAAGACUACAUACUUCCAUCUGGCUUAUUAACAAACAUCCGAGCCUUAGCAGCAGCAACCUCUGCAAUACCAGCAUGCAUCUGAAAAACUGCAAUGUCAGAGAAAUACCAUAAUAUAGAAUUUAUUCCAACCCCCCCCCCCAAAAAAAAAAAACUUCAUUUUGAACUAUUUAUUAAGUAGGAAACAAAUUGAGAAUACCGCUGAAAUGUUCUCAUCACAACCAUCUAAAUCCUCCAAUAACUCUCCAAAAUAGAAUCUACCCUGCACCGUUACAAAUUAUGGAACACAAAAGCAGUCAAGCACUUUUAUAAGACAAUUUGAGUAGCAGAAAUGGUUCAUACAACAAGUGAAAAAUAAUAUAUCAUAUGUGCAUGUAAUAUAGUAUCAACCAUUAACCAAAUAGAACAAUGAAUGUUUUGCAUUCUCUUAAAACCAUUAUAUCUUAGCAUCUUUCUUUUGAAAAAUAUUGUACAAAUUUCCUACUUUUCAACUAUUAUGUUACUAGAAAGCAUUAUUUUAAAGAAAACUGAGGCCUAUAAAGCAGAGGCAAAAACUUGGAUGCAGCAACACAUACUAAAUCUUAUGUAAAAAUAAAUCCACAUCUUCAUGGAAGAAAUGGAUUGAAUUACGCAAAUUGAGACUCAAACAGAACAGUCUAUAUUUUAAGCACAUACAUAGAUGGUGCGCUCAUUGACUUCAUAUACACCACACCCAUGCAUUCUGCCAUGCUUCCACUGGCCAGCAUAGCGGUAUCGACCCUUCUCCCUGAAACAGAAAUGUUUGUCCUCUUAACACCACAAAUUGAGAUACAUGCCUGCUAAAGUCUCAAAAGUUCGGCAGAAAAAGUAAGAUACAAGUGCCUUGCAUGAUACAAUGUAAAUGCUCAAUAUGUGCAUGUGCAGAUUGGACAAUUGGGUAGGAUUAGGAAAAGCAACAUGCAUAUUAUCAAAAAUAAAAACAAAAUAAGGCAGAUUCAAAUGCAAUGACAAAAAUAAUAAUAAUAAGACAAAAAGAAAUAGAAUAUUUGAUGGAGAAACAUACGGUUUUCUGCCAAAAUGUUUGAUCCAUAUAUCACUCUCAUAAAAUGGUAUUUCAUAUUGCCCAUCCGCCAGGCGAAUGCUAUCCUCAACAUCCAUCUCUAACCAUUCUCUAUCUUCUGGAGUCAUGAAAUCUCUUGAUAUUAUUUUCCCUUCAGCUCGCAUUUUUGCUUCAAGCCUAGAAAAAUGGGAAAAUUCCAACUUCAUUGUAUCAUUUAUAAUCAAUUGCUGAGAUUGUAAAACCUAUGCUAUAAUAUAAGUGCAUCAUAAAUAGUUCACAAAUUGUUACGUACUUGGAACCUGGCACAGGUUCUAUAUCAGGUAUAUCAACUUCAACAACCCCAUGACCUUCCAUAUUGUUUUGCAACCAUUCACCUUCAUACCUAUAAAAGGAAGCAUCCUGUAAAUUUUCUAAAAAAAGCGUAAGCAGCUCAAAAGUACUUGAUGCAACUUAGCCCAAACGGAACAAUUUCUAGACCCAUAAAACAGAGGAAAAUAAUAUUUAAAGAGCACUCUCUGGGUUGAAUAGUGCAGACGCUGUCAUUUCAAUCCUAACAAUGUUGUCAAGACUCGAAUCACUACAGCCCACAACGUAGGGAGUUUGAUAUAGUCCACCUUUUUACUAAUAAAAAACUUUUAGAAAAUAACAAUAAUAAAAGAAAUAUUUAAAGAGAACUUCAAUCGGGCAAGCUUCUACUUGCACCUGCUGCCGUACAAGAAAGGGUCUUCAUUGCUUUUAUAGUCUAGCACCUUGGUGCUUGACAUCACUGACUCGUAUAACUACAAACAAUCUUAUCUGCAUGUUUAAGGGUCCUUCAAUGCAGGAUGGUACUAGAACAUAGGUAUGAAGAAAGCGUAAAACAGCAUUAUGAUAAAGUGAAGAGAUACACAUACACAAGAAAUCAAGACUGAAGUGUCAAGCAUUGACAAACCUGACCAGCCCCUGUUCUGCAACAUAAACACCUUUGCCAUGAGCCAAAUCAUCCCAAACCGUGCCUUCAUACCUUAAACAAAAUGCAGAAUGACUAUAAUGAGUAAUCAAACAAGUCAAAGCAAAACCAGAAUCAGGCAUACCGUUACCCGGAACUUCAAACAUGUCAAAAGCAAACUACUGGAUUAAAAACGAGUGGAGGACUGACUUUCAACAUAAAGCCACAAUUUUGCUUCGUGCAAUUGACCAAGUUCAAACUUAUCCAAAUGCACAUUUAGCUACCUCAUUUACAAACUCCCCAGUCCUAAAUAAACUACCAUACUGCAAUAAAGUUGCAUGCCUUAACAAGACAAAUAGUAACAAAAUGAGGGGAAAAGAGUAAGAGAGAGAGUCGGUUUAACAUACGAGCUUCCAUCAGGGAAAAUGUAGCUGACCCAAUUGAGAAACUCCUCAAUCCUAUCCAACUCUUCAAUAACUGCUUUGGGGUUCGAAAUAUCAUAAUGAUUGUCCGGUAUCGCCGGAUAAGGCUUCCGAUAAGGAACAUAAAACGGGGCAAUCCCCGGGUCCCGGCCCUCCUUAAUCUCAUCCCUAACAAUUUCCCAAUCUUCCUCAUCAGCCCAAACAGGGUCCCAACCGGGUUUGGUCAUCUCCAGCGGAGCAUCCACCCAAUACUCCUUCAAAUCCUCUUCCCGCCAAUUCUCGGGGUCUGGUGGAAAAUCCCAUAAGUCUUCGAUGUAAACGUAGUCUUCGUCUUCUUCCUCUUGGAUCCUCUUGAUUCUCUUGCUCUCCAGCACCCGAGUGUACCUGCGGAUGUUGGUUUCGGGGGUGUUUACGGUUUCAGGUGGGGCCUCUCCGGGUCGGGUGUAAGUGAGGGUUUCGGAAUCGGAUUCCUCGAUGUAGUCGUCAGAGGAAGAGGAGGAGUAGUCGGAGUCGGAGUCGGAGUCUGGGUAUUGCUGUUGCGACUCAGUAAGUUGUUGUGCUUGUUCUUCUUCUUCAUCAUUCUCUUCUGGGUCUUGUGACUCAGUGAGUUGUUGUUCCUCUUCGUUCGACAUUGCUUUGCAGUAGAAAGAAGGGAGAGGUUGAAGAAGAUAAGGUAGAGAAUGUUAAGAAGAAAAGGAUCGUUAGGAUUGAAGACAGCGGUUUAUCAUUUCAAAAGGGUUUUGGGCGUUUUGGCAUUUUCCAUGUCUUUAAGUGAUAUUUG